CCUGCCGGGGUUGUAGGGCGUCUCACACGGAGUGACAAAGGGAAGGGAUAGGCGAAGUGGUCCUGGAAAGGCCCGCCAUAGAGAGUAACAGCCUCGUAGCUGAAAUUCCUUCCCCUCCGAGACGGACCCUGAGUACCGCGGGACACGUGAAACCCCGUGGGAAUCCGGGAGGACCACCUCCCAAGGCUAAAUACUCCCUGGCGACCGAUAGUGAACCAGUACCGUGAGGGAAAGGUGAAAAGCACCCCGGAAGGGGAGUGAAAGAGAACCUGAAACCGUGUGCUUACAAUCAGUCGGAGCACCCUUGAGGUGUGACGGCGUGCCUUUUGUAGAAUGAACCGGCGAGUAACGGUUGCGUGCAAGGUUAAGGCGAAAAGCCGGAGCCGCAGCGAAAGCGAGUCUGAACAGGGCGUAGAGUACGUAGCCGUUGACCCGAAACCGGGUGAUCUACCCAUGUCCAGGGUGAAGUUGCGGUAAUGCGCAAUGGAGGCCCGAACCUGUUGGUGUUGAAAAACCAUAGGAUGAGGUGUGGGUAGGGGUGAAAUGCCAAUCGAACUCGGAGAUAGCUGGUUCUCCCCGAAAUAGCUUUAGGGCUAGCCUUGGAGAAUGAGUCAUGGAGGUAGAGCACUGAUUGGGCUAGGGGCCCUCCCCGGGUUACCGAACUCAGUCAAACUCCGAAUGCCAUCGACUUUACUCCAGGAGUCAGACCGCGAGUGCUAAGAUCCGUGGUCAAAAGGGAAACAGCCCAGACCACCAGCUAAGGUCCCUAAGUGACCGUUCAGUGGGAAAGGAUGUGGAGUUGCCCAGACAACCAGGAUGUUGGCUUAGAAGCAGCCAUCAUUCAAAGAGUGCGUAAUAGCUCACUGGUCAAGUGACUCCGCGCCGAAAAUGUAACGGGGCUAAACGGUCCACCGAAGCUGUGGAUGUCCUAUGGACAUGGUAGGGGAGCGUUCCAAGUGCAGCGAAGCUGCAUCGUGAGAUGCGGUGGAGCGCUUGGAAGUGAGAAUGCCGGUAUGAGUAGCGAAAAGAGGGGUGAGAAUCCCCUCCACCGAAAGCCUAAGGUUUCCUGAGGAAGGUUCGUCCGCUCAGGGUAAGUCGGGACCUAAGCCGAGGCCGAAAGGCGUAGGCGAUGGACAACAGGUGGAAAUUCCUGUACCACCAACCUUCGUUUGUACGAUGGGGGGACGCAGGAGGGUAGAGAAUCGCGCGACUG
This 1213-nucleotide ribosomal RNA is filed under the name Lihuaxuella thermophila. Its description in RNAcentral is "bacterial LSU rRNA". It matches the Rfam family "Bacterial large subunit ribosomal RNA", at positions 288 to 1500 of the family's 2925-position model. The record is from RNAcentral. Lineage: Bacteria; Bacillati; Bacillota; Bacilli; Caryophanales; Thermoactinomycetaceae.